AUGGAAACGCAGAGCUCACACCCUUCUGAUGAACAGACAGAAGUGUCAGAUCCUUUUCUAUGCUAGCAAAGGAUUUUAAGGGUUUGGAAUUCUCUAAAAGUGUAAAGCUCUUAGGAGGGCGUUACUUGGCAAAGCAGUGCUUUAUCUCAUUCUCUUGUUUGCCUGUUCAAACUUCCCACCCAUUGUAGACCCACUUGCUGUGUUAUUGCAGGUUAAGCCCCCAAGACCCUUUUCUCUCACCUUUUUUGUUCACUUCCCAUCCCCUUUCCUUUUCAGGUCAUCCUCCAUGCCCUUCUGAUGUCCACAUGUCUCUUCAUUUUCUUCUCAGGCCUCCUCUUUCUCUCACCAUCUAAGUUAUUGAAAUUCUUGAAAUCCUAAGCAGGCCUGGCACUGAGAGGUAAGGUACUCUGUAAGGGAGCUGAAACUUCCAGCCUUUCUUCCUAUUCACAAACCCACCUUUACCCGCCCCCAAUGCUGGACUUUGGUUUUUCAUAUUGCUUUUGCAGAACUUUAAAACAUUUGAAUCUUUCCUUGAUGAGUUUUUGUCCUGAGGGGCCAGUGCAGUUUUCUUGCCACUUUGUUUUCCUCUCAUAUAACUUUUCCCUGUCAAUAAGGCAUUUAGGCUGAGAGAAAAAGUUAUUGAGCAUGUGCAUCCAAAUUUGAGAUGAUUGUUAUUUCAUUACCUAAUGACUUUAACUUCUUUGAUACUGUGUUUGUCUUAUGAAUAUAAUGGCUUUCUCACUUUAAUG
This 749-nucleotide long non-coding RNA is filed under the name Homo sapiens (human). Its description in RNAcentral is "HSALNT0037485". Lineage: Eukaryota; Metazoa; Chordata; Mammalia; Primates; Hominidae. The record is from RNAcentral.